AUCGAAUACAACACGACUUCAACUUUAUCCUAUUUUUCAAGAAAUGGAACAUUUGUUAUUGAUGAACCUGAGAAGAUUUCAUUUUACACAAAUAAGAACAAUUUCACAAAUAAUUAGACCAACUAUCCAUUAUAUAAUCAUUGUCAUCUGGAUAUCUAGCCUAUAUGUACCUGCUUUGUGACUUGGUGAUGACCAUGUGGCUUGGUUGCAUUGCUAUUUUGAGCAUGAUCAUUCUGCAAUUAAAUAGGAAUACGCGUGAAGGGAGACACGUGGCCAACUAUAAUCAAGAAUGAUAGCUUUGAAGAGUUCCAUUACAUGAAGUUAGUAAGGAGCCUUAUUCCACACGCACUUUCGGUUGCGCACUUUGCUUUCAAAUUAGAUUAAAGUCUUAUUACAAAAUUAUUUAUUGUGAAAACUUUGCAAGAAUGCAGCAAGCAAACAAAUGAAGUUCAAGUCAUGUAAAUUUAUACACUAAAAACAGGAUUGACCUAAUAUUCAAGGGCCAGGGUGUUCCUCAACAUCUAUGCAAGGUUUCCACCAAAAAGACCAUGUAUGCAAGUUUGGUGUUUUAUUAGUACUCAUGUAUCAAUUCAAAAUUGAUUAAUUAGUUUCUUUGAAUACGAGAUCUCUUGGAGCAGCAAUGAUAUGUGUGUGACUAAAUUUUGGUCCCAUCGGGCCAAAUCAUGUUGCUGUUGUAUGCAAUACAAUUUUUUAAUACUUGGUUGAAUCCGACUUAUGAUCUGCUAGCGGUGUCACGACAUUUUUUGAAACGACCUUGUCAAAAUGGGAUUGGUGUUUCAUAAUAAUGUCAUUUACCUUGCACUUACAUACAAAAUUAGACAACCUCUUGUAUAAUCAUUGUCAUUUAGAUAUGUAGCAUAUGUUUACCUGGUUAGUGACUUGGUGAAGUCGUAAACUUGGUUCAGGGCCACCUUGCUGCACUGCAAGAUUAUUUUCAGCAUGGACAUUCUGCAAUUUAAUAGGAAAAGAUGUCAUCGUCAUCAUUGAUAAAAAUCUAGAUAAGUCCUUGCACGUAGGUUAAUAUUACUAGGAAGGUAUAUACGAACCCAAACAGGUUACAGUUGCAAACCAAAAGGUUAAUAUUUCACAAAGUUUUAACUUGAUGAUAAGAUAGCUUUCCAAUAUUUAACUACUAAAAGGGUUCAACCAAUCCCAAAAUUACUGGCAGGAGAUAAUUGAUAAUUGAGUACAAGUUAGUUAACACACCUUAGUGAUCACAUGUUCAUGUGGUAAAUGCGCAUUGCCACAACCCUCUUUUGAUUUCGUUUGCUGCAACUCCUAUUAAAGCAAUAGUUCUAAGACAUUAGAAUGGAUCUGCAUUAAAUAGUACAUAAAAAGCCCAUUACAUUACCUGCAUGGUAGUUUGUGGCUCCUGCACAUCAUUAUUUGAUUGUUCAAGAACAUUAUAAGAUUCAGAUUGGAGAUUGUUAUCUCUGUCAUGUGGAGUGACCUGCAAUAAAAUUAUUGUAAUAGCAUAUCAGUGUUCAUUAAUUUCAUCUUUGCACAAAUAUAACUGCUUUUGAUAUGCUAACUUGAUAAUUUUCUGUAGGAGAAUCCACUUCAUUUCUGCAAAUCUCUCCAGGAAACUUUUUGGCAAGGAAUGCAGCAAUCAUAGCCAUCUGACCUCUGACAUCCCCUACAUCACCUUUGACUUCCUUUACAUCACCUUUGACGUCCUCUACAUCAUCUUUGACAUCUUCUACAUUAUCUUUCACCAUGCGUACUUCAAACUGAAGAUUUUCUUGGUCAGAUUUCCCAACAAAAGUUAUUCCCCGAGAAACAUUUACUCCGCUCCAAUACUUUUCAUCAUAGUAACCUCGAAGUUUUGCCCUUUUAUCAAGUGCACCUUUAAAGGCUUCAGUAUAAUCGUCAAUGGAAAGGCUACCAUUAUGAUCGAUUUUCCUUUUUUUAACUCCUCAUUAGCUGCAUCCUAUUGAAUAGGAAUAAUUAUUAAUUCAUUACUAUACUAUGGAAUAGAUUGUAUGUUGGACUGUAGACAAAAUAAGUAGAAUGUACCAUUAUUGUCCUCACAUUGUCGCUUGUGUAAUU
This 2070-nucleotide ribosomal RNA is filed under the name Triticum aestivum (bread wheat). RNAcentral's name for it is "partial small subunit ribosomal RNA". Lineage: Eukaryota; Viridiplantae; Streptophyta; Magnoliopsida; Poales; Poaceae. The record is from RNAcentral.